RNAcentral lists this long non-coding RNA (596 nucleotides) under Callithrix jacchus (white-tufted-ear marmoset). Its description in RNAcentral is "lncRNA (ENSCJAG00000081122.1)". The record is from RNAcentral. Lineage: Eukaryota; Metazoa; Chordata; Mammalia; Primates; Cebidae.
UUAACACUGGGCCAGAGUCCUCCAAUGCUGUUGUAGCAGGGGAAGGAAAAGUUGCUGCCUCAUUGCUGCCAACUGAGAGCGAACUUCUAGAUUACCCAUUCAGUUUCUGUUGGCACCUGAAGGGGAUUAAGUUCUUGUUACUGUUGUGCAGGUGUGUGAUUUUUGGCUCUCCAUUACAGCUCCACUGAUACUUUCUUGACUGAUAGUAAGAACGGUUCAUUAUUCCUCUCAGGUGGCUUUCAUUGAAACCACGGGGCAAGGGGCAGAGGAAAUAAGUCCCCUUUCUGCUUAGUGGUGAAAAUCCUGACUUUCCGCUAGGCCUCCUGUGACAUUCCUCCAGGAACAUUUUGUUACUUGCAGAACUUUUGCUAAUUACAAGCAUAACGAUCACAUUUUUGUGAGUUCAAUUAUCUUCAUGGAAUCUAUCAGAGUCUUCAGUGCUAAAACUGGAAGAAGAAAAAUAAAGACUACAGUUUUUCUGAAAAUUGAGAGGUCAUGAAAGUAGGAAGUAUAAUUCCAUCAACAGUGGCACAAUCGUAGUUCAUUGCAACUUUGAACUCCUGGACCCAAGAGAUCUUCCUACUUUGGCCUCCUGA